UGAGGAAUAUUGGUCAAUGGGCGGGAGCCUGAACCAGCCAAGUCGCGUGAGGGACGACGGCCCUGCGGGUUGUAAACCUCUUUUGCCGGGGAGCAGGGAGCGCCACGCGUGGUGCUUUUGAGAGUACCCGGAGAAAAAGCAUCGGCUAACUCCGUGCCAGCAGCCGCGGUAAUACGGAGGAUGCGAGCGUUAUCCGGAUUUAUUGGGUUUAAAGGGUGCGUAGGCGGGAUGUCAAGUCGGCGGUAAAAAAUUCGGGGCCCAACCCCGUCGUGCCGUCGAAACUGGCGUCCUAGAGUGGGCGAGAAGUACGCGGAAUGCGUGGUGUAGCGGUGAAAUGCAUAGAUAUCACGCAGAACUCCGAUUGCGAAGGCAGCGUACCGGUGCCCAACUGACGCUGAAGCACGAAAGCGAUGGGUAUCGACAGGAUUAGAUACC
This 435-nucleotide ribosomal RNA is filed under the name uncultured bacterium. RNAcentral describes it as "bacterial SSU rRNA". It matches the Rfam family "Bacterial small subunit ribosomal RNA", at positions 355 to 786 of the family's 1533-position model. The record is from RNAcentral.